GAAAUGCGAUAAGUAAUGUGAAUUGCAGAAUUCCGUGAAUCAUCGAAUCUUUGAACGCACAUUGCGCCCUCUGGUAUUCCGGGGGGCAUGCCUGUCCGAGCCUCAUUGCGAACCCCUCAAGCACGGCUUGUGUGAUGGGCCCUCCCGCGUCUUGGUCGUCAAGACGGGCCCGAAAUGUAGUGGCGGCUUCGCGGUUAUCCGAUCAGCCAGAGCGUAUGGGGACUUUCUCUCUGUCACACGCCCGCGGCGCGGACCGACGCCUGUCGACCUUCAUUCAUCGUUUUCUCGGUUGACCUCGGAUCAGGUAGGGAUACCCGCUGAACUUAAGC
Molecule: unclassified non-coding RNA, 329 nt
Filed under: plant metagenome
Description: partial contains 5.8S ribosomal RNA, internal transcribed spacer 2, and large subunit ribosomal RNA
Rfam family: 5.8S ribosomal RNA (bases 1-105)
Source: RNAcentral